This 1572-nucleotide unclassified non-coding RNA is filed under the name Caenorhabditis elegans. RNAcentral describes it as "Non-coding transcript of protein-coding gene rpa-4". The record is from RNAcentral. Lineage: Eukaryota; Metazoa; Nematoda; Chromadorea; Rhabditida; Rhabditidae.
AUGGAGUUCGAUCGAAAUUUUGACACUAGCGAUGGAUGGUCAUCGCAUGAUAUUUCACAAGAGAGAAAGAAUCAAAGUUUCCAAUCUCUCGGUGACAAAUUACCGCUUCCAGUGACUCUUGCAUCUUUGAGCACAAAAUUGGAAGAUACAGACGAUGAUUCAUAUCAAAUUGGAGAAUAUAGUUUUCGAACAAUUCACACAGUUGGCGUAAUCUUGGAAAAAUCGUACGAGGAUGGGAAGACAACAUAUACACUUCAUGAUCCUGAAGAUACUGCCAAGAUAUUUCACGCAGUUCAAUUCGGAAAUUACAACGAUGGUGGCUCCAAGUUCGUCUCUCCGGGUUUAGAGGAAGACACGCGAGUCCGUCUGAUGGGAAAAUUGAAGAAUGUCGCAGGAAAUAAAAUGAUUCUUAUAUACUACCUUCAAAAGUUGGCUGACAACAAGGAGUAUGAAAUUUUCAAGUUGGAGACACAAGCUUCUUAUUUAUUCUUCAAAAAGAAUUUGAUCGAGCGAAUGCGAACUUCUAAAGCUUAUAAAUGGGAAGGAAUGCUGGCUCCGCCGUUGUCACGACAAAAUCAUAAAAUUGACGCACAGGCUAUUUUGAGCCCAGUUAUCACUAGACAAGUGAAACCGACCACGAAAACACAGUCCGAAUCAAUUUCACCAAAAACUUCUUCGGCAUUGAAAGCGAAGGUUGGCGCAGUUAUCCGAUCAGAAGCCGCCAGUAAGGGAUACGGCGACGAAGAAGGCGUACCAUUCGAAAGAAUCUUGGCUCGCAUAAAAGAUAUUCCAGAGUCUCGUCUUCGAGACAUUCUGACAGAAAUGGGAGACAGUGGAAUGAUUUACUCGGCCAGAGACAAUGAGUUCAUGUCGCUUAAUUGAUUCGGUCAAAUAUUUAGCUUUACUGAUGUUAUUCUGUACAAAAUAUACAAGUACAAAGUGCAUGACGCAUGCUUUUUAUAUUUUCAUAAAAUCAUAGUUUUGUUUAACUGACUUUUUCAGGAUGGUGGCUCCAAGUUCGUCUCUCCGGGUUUAGAGGAAGACACGCGAGUCCGUCUGAUGGGAAAAUUGAAGAAUGUCGCAGGAAAUAAAAUGAUUCUUAUAUACUACCUUCAAAAGUUGGCUGACAACAAGGAGUAUGAAAUUUUCAAGUUGGAGACACAAGCUUCUUAUUUAUUCUUCAAAAAGAAUUUGAUCGAGCGAAUGCGAACUUCUAAAGCUUAUAAAUGGGAAGGAAUGCUGGCUCCGCCGUUGUCACGACAAAAUCAUAAAAUUGACGCACAGGCUAUUUUGAGCCCAGUUAUCACUAGACAAGUGAAACCGACCACGAAAACACAGUCCGAAUCAAUUUCACCAAAAACUUCUUCGGCAUUGAAAGCGAAGGUUGGCGCAGUUAUCCGAUCAGAAGCCGCCAGUAAGGGAUACGGCGACGAAGAAGGCGUACCAUUCGAAAGAAUCUUGGCUCGCAUAAAAGAUAUUCCAGAGUCUCGUCUUCGAGACAUUCUGACAGAAAUGGGAGACAGUGGAAUGAUUUACUCGGCCAGAGACAAUGAGUUCAUGUCGCUUAAUUGA